GUUAUAUGGUCAAGUGAAGAAGCGCAUACGGUGGAUGCCUUGGCAGUCAGAGGCGAUGAAAGACGUGGUAGCCUGCGAAAAGCUUCGGGGAGUCGGCAAACAGACUUUGAUCCGGAGAUCUCUGAAUGGGGGAACCCACCUAGGAUAACCUAGGUAUCUUGUACUGAAUCCAUAGGUGCAAGAGGCGAACCAGGGGAACUGAAACAUCUAAGUACCCUGAGGAAAAGAAAUCAACCGAGAUUCCCUUAGUAGUGGCGAGCGAACGGGGAUUAGCCCUUAAGCUUCAUUGAUUUUAGCGGAACGCUCUGGAAAGUGCGGCCAUAGUGGGUGAUAGCCCCGUACGCGAAAGGAUCUUUGAAGUGAAAUCGAGUAGGACGGAGCACGAGAAACUUUGUCUGAACAUGGGGGGACCAUCCUCCAAGGCUAAAUACUACUGACUGACCGAUAGUGAACCAGUACCGUGAGGGAAAGGCGAAAAGAACCCCGGAGAGGGGAGUGAAAUAGAACCUGAAACCGUAUGCGUACAAGCAGUGGGAGCCUACUUGUUAGGUGACUGCGUACCUUUUGUAUAAUGGGUCAGCGACUUAUAUUCAGUGGCAAGCUUAACCGUAUAGGGUAGGCGUAGCGAAAGCGAGUCUUAAUAGGGCGUUUAGUCGCUGGGUAUAGACCCGAAACCGGGCGAUCUAUCCAUGAGCAGGUUGAAGGUUAGGUAACACUGACUGGAGGACCGAACCCACUCCCGUUGAAAAGGUAGGGGAUGACUUGUGGAUCGGAGUGAAAGGCUAAUCAAGCUCGGAGAUAGCUGGUUCUCCUCGAAAGCUAUUUAGGUAGCGCCUCAUGUAUCACUCUGGGGGGUAGAGCACUGUUUCGGCUAGGGGGUCAUCCCGACUUACCAAACCGAUGCAAACUCCGAAUACCCAGAAGUGCCGAGCAUGGGAGACACACGGCGGGUGCUAACGUCCGUCGUGAAAAGGGAAACAACCCAGACCGCCAGCUAAGGUCCCAAAGUUGUGGUUAAGUGGUAAACGAUGUGGGAAGGCUUAGACAGCUAGGAGGUUGGCUUAGAAGCAGCCACCCUUUAAAGAAAGCGUAAUAGCUCACUAGUCGAGUCGGCCUGCGCGGAAGAUGUAACGGGGCUCAAACCACACACCGAAGCUGCGGGUGUCACGCAAGUGACGCGGUAGAGGAGCGUUCUGUAAGCCUGUGAAGGUGAGUUGAGAAGCUUGCUGGAGGUAUCAGAAGUGCGAAUGCUGACAUGAGUAACGACAAUGGGUGUGAAAAACACCCACGCCGAAAG
This 1297-nucleotide ribosomal RNA is filed under the name Pseudomonas aeruginosa. Its description in RNAcentral is "partial 23S ribosomal RNA". It matches the Rfam family "Bacterial large subunit ribosomal RNA", at positions 1 to 1343 of the family's 2925-position model. Lineage: Bacteria; Pseudomonadati; Pseudomonadota; Gammaproteobacteria; Pseudomonadales; Pseudomonadaceae. The record is from RNAcentral.